AGUGAACGCUGGCGGUAGGCCUAACACAUGCAAGUCGAACGGCAGCACAGUAAGAGCUUGCUCUUACGGGUGGCGAGUGGUGGACGGGUGAGGAAUACAUCGGAAUCUACUUUUUCGUGGGGGAUAACGUAGGGAAACUUACGCUAAUACCGCAUACGACCUACGGGUGAAAGCAGGGGAUCUUCGGACCUUGCGCGAUUGAAUGAGCCGAUGUCGGAUUAGCUAGUUGGCGGGGUAAAGGCCCACCAAGGCGACGAUCCGUAGCUGGUCUGAGAGGAUGAUCAGCCACACUGGAACUGAGACACGGUCCAGACUCCUACGGGAGGCAGCAGUGGGGAAUAUUGGACAAUGGGCGCAAGCCUGAUCCAGCCAUACCGCGUGGGUGAAGAAGGCCUUCGGGUUGUAAAGCCCUUUUGUUGGAAAGAAAAGCAGCAGGUUAAUACCCCGCUGUUCUGACGGUACCCAAAGAAUAAGCACCGGCUAACUUCGU
Molecule: ribosomal RNA, 490 nt
Filed under: uncultured bacterium
Lineage: Bacteria
Description: partial 16S ribosomal RNA
Rfam family: Bacterial small subunit ribosomal RNA
Source: RNAcentral